AGGACUUUGAGCACCUGAAACACCCUCCACCGUUUUGAAACUUGUCGAAUCUACACAAAAGCAGAGAACAGCACGAGGGGCUCCUGGGAUCCACCAUGCGGCUUCCCCCGUUGCUGCCAACCUCUGCGACCCGGCGAGACACGCACAGCACACACGCAUCCCCUGCGGCGCUGGCCAAGUGCGUGCUGGCCGAGGUCCCGAAGCAGGUGGUGGAGUACUACAGCCACAGAGGCCUGCCCCCGAGAGGCCUGGGCGUCCCUGCCGGAGAGGCCAGCCCAGGCUGCACACCGUGAAGACGUGGAGGGCGUCGGGGGGGCAGUGAGGAGUGGGUCCGUACAGCCUCUGUCUCCAACAUGCUUGGGGUCCCUUAAGCUCCCUCCGACCUCCCAGAAGCCUCCAGUCCCCACCAGGCCCUACUCCCAGUCCUCCUGGGAUCCUGCUGGCUUGGGCCCGGCUCUGGGGCCCCCAAGGCCGAAGGGUGACAAAAUACAGGCCCCCAUGCCUGGCCCUGCCUG
This 515-nucleotide small RNA is filed under the name Pan troglodytes (chimpanzee). Its description in RNAcentral is "processed transcript". The record is from RNAcentral. Lineage: Eukaryota; Metazoa; Chordata; Mammalia; Primates; Hominidae.